CAAAAAUUUUGAUCGACUUUGGCGGGUAGGUGCUCGGUUUUCACCGCGCAGUUAGUCGCAACCCUGACUAACAUCGAUUAAGGUGGAAAUAAGUGAGAUAUUCUCAUGAGCUUUCAUCUUUCUGAAACUGUUUGAGUUUACGUGUUUUUCGUACAGUAUAAAAUAACGGAACACCGUCAGGAUCUACCCCAUUUUU
Molecule: non-coding RNA, 196 nt
Filed under: Polybia occidentalis
Lineage: Eukaryota; Metazoa; Arthropoda; Insecta; Hymenoptera; Vespidae
Source: RNAcentral